Macaca mulatta (Rhesus monkey) is the source of this 252-nucleotide long non-coding RNA. RefSeq lists it as uncharacterized. NCBI's taxonomy places the organism in Eukaryota, Metazoa, Chordata, Mammalia, Primates, Cercopithecidae. The record is from RefSeq and is a predicted model, not a curated record.
GCGGGGGUGCCACUCGGAGGAGCCUUUGAGUCCUGGGCAUCCUCAAGUUGGUGACCGGGGAAAAAGGGGAUACCUUUCAGUGUCGCCCUACGGUGGGAGCUGAGGAGGUCCCUUUUAGAAGCAAAGGAGAAACAAACAGAUGCCCUCUGACAUCGCUGGAGCUCUGCAGGCCCCUCCGAGGGGACCAUGGGAGCAGGAGCUGUUUUCUUGGAAAACCACCUAGAAUAAAUGUUACCCUGUCACAGUCUCUUA